Molecule: ribosomal RNA, 253 nt
Filed under: uncultured bacterium
Lineage: Bacteria
Description: partial 16S ribosomal RNA
Rfam family: Bacterial small subunit ribosomal RNA
Source: RNAcentral
UACGAAGGGUGCAAGCGUUGCUCGGAAUUAUUGGGCGUAAAGGGUAGGUAGGUGGUUACGUAUGUCUGAGGUGAAAUCCCUAAGCUUAACUUAGGACGUGCCUUGGAAACGGCGUAACUAGAGUGCUGGAGAGGUUCGUAGAAUUCCCGGUGUAGCGGUGAAAUGCGUAGAGAUCGGGAGGAAUACCAGAGGCGAAGGCGGCGAACUGGACAGCAACUGACACUAAACUACGAAAGCGUGGGGAGCAAACAGG